AGAGUUUGAUCAUGGCUCAGGACGAACGCUGGCGGCGUGCCUCAAACAUGCAAGUCGAGCGUGGGUGCACGCUCUCGCAAGAGAGGGUGCACUCUAGCGGCGAACGGGUGAGUAACACGUGGGGAACCUGCCCUCCAGACGGGGACAACCUCGGGAAACCGGGGCUAAUACCGGAUACGUUCGCCGGGUCGCAUGGCCUGGCGAGGAAAGGGUCGCAAGAUCGCUGGAGGAGGGCCCCGCGGCCUAUCAGCUCGUUGGUGGGGUAACGGCCUACCAAGGCGAUGACGGGUAGCUGGCCUGAGAGGGUGGUCAGCCACACUGGAACUGAGAUACGGUCCAGACUCCUACGGGAGGCAGCAGUUGGGAAUCUUGGGCAAUGGGCGCAAGCCUGACCCAGCGACGCCGCGUGGGGGAUGAAGGCCUUCGGGUUGUAAACCCCUGUCAGGAGGGACGAAGCCGCAAGGUGACGGUACCUCCAGAGGAAGCCCCGGCUAACUACGUGCCAGCAGCCGCGGUAAGACGUAGGGGGCGAGCGUUGUCCGGAAUCACUGGGCGUAAAGCGCGUGCAGGCGGCCUGGUAAGUCCCGUGUGAAAGCCUACGGCUCAACUGUAGAAGGUCGCGGGAGACCGCGGGGCUCGAG
This 641-nucleotide ribosomal RNA is filed under the name uncultured soil bacterium. RNAcentral's name for it is "bacterial SSU rRNA". It matches the Rfam family "Bacterial small subunit ribosomal RNA", at positions 8 to 646 of the family's 1533-position model. The record is from RNAcentral.